CUACGGGGGGCUGCAGUGGGGAAUAUUGCACAAUGGACGAAAGUCUGAUGCAGCAACGCCGCGUGGAGGAUGACACAUUUCGGUGCGUAAACUCCUUUUAUAUCCCAAGAUAAUGACGGUAGGAUAUGAAUAAGCGCCGGCUAACUCCGUGCCAGCAGCCGCGGUAAUACGGAGGGCGCAAGCGUUACUCGGAAUCACUGGGCGUAAAGAGCGUGUAGGCGGAUAGAUAAGUUGGGAGUGAAAUCCUAUGGCUUAACCAUAGAAUUGCUUCCAAAACUGUCUAUCUAGAAUAUGGGAGAGGUAGAUGGAAUUUCUGGUGUAGGGGUAAAAUCCGUAGAGAUCAGAAGGAAUACCGAUUGCGAAGGCGAUCUACUGGAACAUUAUUGACGCUGAGACGCGAAAGCGUGGGGAGCAAACAGGAUUAGAUACCCCUGUAGUC
RNAcentral lists this ribosomal RNA (439 nucleotides) under uncultured bacterium. RNAcentral describes it as "partial 16S ribosomal RNA". It matches the Rfam family "Bacterial small subunit ribosomal RNA", at positions 339 to 795 of the family's 1533-position model. The record is from RNAcentral.